UAGGGAAUAUUGCACAAUGGGCGCAAGCCUGAUGCAGCAACGCCGCGUGCGCGAUGAAGGCCUUCGGGUCGUAAAGCGCUUUUCUGGAGGAAGAGCAAGGACGGUACUUCAGGAAGAAGGAUCGGCUAACUACGUGCCAGCAGCCGCGGUAACACGUAGGAUCCGAGCGUUAUCCGAAUUUACUGGGCGUAAAGCGCGUGCAGGCGGUUUGGUAAGUUGGACGUGAAAUCUCCCGGCUCAACUGGGAGGGGUCGUUCAAGACUGCCAGACUAGAGGGCGGUAGAGGGAGGCGGAAUUCCCGGUGUAGUGGUGAAAUGCGUAGAUAUCGGGAGGAACACCAGUGGCGAAAGCGGCCUCCUGGGCUGCACCUGACGCUCAGACGCGAAAGCUAGGGGGAGCGAACGGGAUUAGAUACCCCGGUAGUCCUAGCUGUAAACGAUGUGGACUUGGCGUCGGGUGGUUCAAAUCCGCGGUGCCGCAGCUAACGCGCUAAGUCCACGCC
RNAcentral lists this ribosomal RNA (502 nucleotides) under uncultured Chloroflexota bacterium. Its description in RNAcentral is "bacterial SSU rRNA". It matches the Rfam family "Bacterial small subunit ribosomal RNA", at positions 355 to 873 of the family's 1533-position model. Lineage: Bacteria; Bacillati; Chloroflexota. The record is from RNAcentral.